CUCAGUUCGGAUCGAAGUCUGNAACCCGACUUCGUGAAGCUGGAUUCGCUAGUAAUCGCGCAUCAGCCAUGGCGCGGUGAAUACGUUCCCGGGCCUUGUACACACCGCCCGUCAAGCCAUGAAAGCCGGGGGUACCUGAAGUACGUAACCGCAAGGAUCGUCCUAGGGUAAAACUGGUAAUUGGGGCUAAGUCGUAACAAGGUACC
Molecule: ribosomal RNA, 206 nt
Filed under: uncultured bacterium
Lineage: Bacteria
Description: partial 16S ribosomal RNA
Rfam family: Bacterial small subunit ribosomal RNA
Source: RNAcentral